GUUGGGAGACGUGCUGGUCUAAUGGUUAGCGCGUUGGACUCCGGAUCGAGCGGUCUGGGUUCGAGCCCUGGCCUGGGCG
This 79-nucleotide transfer RNA is filed under the name Desmophyllum pertusum. RNAcentral describes it as "tRNA-Arg". Lineage: Eukaryota; Metazoa; Cnidaria; Anthozoa; Scleractinia; Caryophylliidae. The record is from RNAcentral.